This is a non-coding RNA of Candidatus Collierbacteria bacterium, 117 nucleotides long. Lineage: Bacteria; Candidatus Collieribacteriota. The record is from Rfam.
UCCGGUGAUCAGAGCGACUUGGCCCCACCUGAUCCCAUUCCGAACUCAGAAGUGAAACGAGUCAGCGUCGAUGCUAGUGCCACCGCAAGGUCGUGCGAAAGUAGAUCAUCGCCGGGC